This is a long non-coding RNA of Aegilops tauschii subsp. strangulata, 1610 nucleotides long. RefSeq lists it as uncharacterized. Lineage: Eukaryota; Viridiplantae; Streptophyta; Magnoliopsida; Poales; Poaceae. The record is from RefSeq and is a predicted model, not a curated record.
AUGAUCCCUGUGGGGCAUGGUUAAAUUUUGAGAAAGUUUUGCCAAAGUUAUGACGUACAUUGCUUAAAAAUCGAAUCAUCUCCGAGAAGAAACAUGGUUUCGAGAGAGACGGGUCUAGUUUGAAGGCGACGCAACCGAUGCUUCAUCUGUUGGCACUGAAAGUUUUUCUACACCCAGGAUACACCAUUACAUGAUCCAUGUGAAAUUUUGGUAUCUUUCGGAACCUGUUUGCUAUAUUUAAGCCAUCAAGUGCAUUUCUAGAUAUUUAACGCUUUCUAAUUUGAAAUGCAAGUGGUUGAAAAAGGUUGGCAAAAUUAGAUUCAGAAAAUAUAUUUUGUGUUCUUGAGCGUAUGUUUAGGCCUUAUAUAAGAAAACAAAGGAUUCAAAACAUGAGAGUGCCAAGACUUGACCCUUAACAUUGAGUUUUUUGUUUUUUAAUUUCAAAAAAUGAAACUCUUCAAAGCAUGAAAAUUUAUGUUGGAAAAUAUGUUCAUAUAUUUGCCUCCAAAUAGAGUAGAAAAAAAUAGAUUCCAUUUAAAUUUAUCCAUGUAAGAACAAAGUAAUUUAAAAACAUAAAACUAAGAGAAUAAGCAAAAAAACAAAAACCAAAUAAAUAAAUAAUACCUAUGUGUUUUUAACCGACUACCUCCCUACCUUACUAGCGCAAACAAACCAGUUGUAUUAAGUAACGAUUUUAGUCAAAAUAACACACCGGACAUUCUUAUAGUUACAGAAGAUUUUUAUAGGCUCCUGCUUUCUGAUUGGUCGAACCAGGCCUCCCACGGAUCACGCUUCUCCACCAUCCAUUCUUACCCGAUCCAACGGUCCCUGCUCUUUCUACUACUCUAUUUGUGCUUUCCCUGAUCCUUAUCUUCUCACACGUACGCGAGCACCGUACAAGUAGUAGCCGCGCCGCCGCGCCCGAGGAACCUCUGAGCUCGCCGCCGUUCGCGCGACGGGCUGCCAUCCGCGCCUCCCGCCGCAGCACGCCGCAAUGGAGGCCGAGCCCCCAUGGUGGUACCCGAGAUCACCUCCCAGCCGCUGUUCUCCUUCGAAUUCGUCGGGAUCCGGCCGGAUCCGGCAGGAUCCGGACGUCGGCAACCCGUUCACGACCUCCUCGCCUCGCCUGGGUCGUUGGCCACUCCGAUGUCAUCAUCUCGCUCGCGAGAUCCAGCGCUACCGAUGGCUGGCCUCCUCCUCGCCCGGAUGUGACGUCCCCACACCGGCGCCUCCAACUUGAGCAGCAGCAGUGAACACGUCGGCAAGGGCGUCUCCGGCAUCGUCAUUAUUUUUAUUUUAUUUUAAAGAAGUUUGCCUCGCCAGAAAAGCAUAGCGACGAACUCUGAUUGAUUCCCCGCGAGCGCUGGGCGGUGCUUGAUGUGGUGGCUUUAGGGCUUGUACAAUGGGAGGUGCUUAGAGAAAUAAACCAGACUUAUUUGUACAGGAUAGACGCUUAACUAAGCGUCUCUCCGGUAGAAAUAGGCACCGGUACUUCAGAAAAUCUCGGUUUAUUUUUCUAAGCACCCCUCUAAGCAUCUUUCAUUGUACAAGGCCUUAGAGUGCCAAUUUUGGAAACAACAAUUUAUAAUUCCAAGUUUUUUUUCGGUGUA